This is a long non-coding RNA of Canis lupus familiaris (dog), 739 nucleotides long. RefSeq lists it as uncharacterized. The record is from RefSeq and is a predicted model, not a curated record. NCBI's taxonomy places the organism in Eukaryota, Metazoa, Chordata, Mammalia, Carnivora, Canidae. The transcript has 3 exons.
UUAUAAAUGUACAAUCUAUUAAAAUUCAAGUAUGUAAAUGAACCAUGAUCAUCAAGUAGGUGACAUAGAGCAUCAGGAGAAUCAUUUGGUACAUGCUGCUUAUGUUUGUGUUUUUAAAAUACAAACGAAAAACUUUCAUGUUAAAUGCCUGAGCAUUUAUUUUUUUUUAAAUUGUGGUUUAUCCAUGAUUCAUGUAAUUCUCUUAGGUCCUCUUUAAAGAAGGAAGUACAGAGAAAUCUAAAGUGGGGCAUGUCAAUUAGCUUUGUCAGUAUAACAAAUCAUACUGUUAUUUGUCACAGGAGGAUUCAAUGAGGUCAUUCAUAUAAAGCUUCUACCACAGUAUGUGGCAGAAACAAGUCUUACAGCCAAGCCCAGAUUCAAAGGAUGGAGAAGUUGACACAACUUCCUGCUUAGAGGAUUCCCAGAAGUCUCAUUAUGGCAUCAGCUUCUAAGUCCAGAGGCUUAUCCAUGAUCUACAUCACAUCUGGACACUUCUGGGACUUCUCAGAUACACCUCUUUGAAUGUGGAUACUCUUGAUCCUGAGACAAUAAAGUAAAAAAAAAAAAAAAUUAGUUACCUCCCCAUACACACCCAACAAAUAAUGACAAAAUAUAGGGAAAGUAUAACCAAAAGACAUAAUCCAUUAAAACAAAAACUAAAACACAUUAACAGGGUACAAAUAACCAUCACAGUUCCAUGGCAGUUCUAUCUAGGUCCAUGUUGCUAGGUACUCCACUC